This 24-nucleotide non-coding RNA is filed under the name Oryctolagus cuniculus (rabbit). Lineage: Eukaryota; Metazoa; Chordata; Mammalia; Lagomorpha; Leporidae. RNAcentral also lists the same sequence under 3 other names. The record is from RNAcentral.
UCUGAUACGUCCUCUAUCCGAGGA